GGAUGCGAUCAUACCAGCACUAAAGCACCGGAUCCCAUCAGAACUCCGAAGUUAAGCGUGCUUGGUCGAGAGUAUUACUAGGAUGGGUGACCUCCUGGGAAGUCCUCGUGUUGCAUUCC
Molecule: ribosomal RNA, 119 nt
Filed under: Hordeum vulgare subsp. vulgare (domesticated barley)
Lineage: Eukaryota; Viridiplantae; Streptophyta; Magnoliopsida; Poales; Poaceae
Source: RNAcentral